Molecule: non-coding RNA, 241 nt
Organism: Pelobates cultripes (western spadefoot toad)
Lineage: Eukaryota; Metazoa; Chordata; Amphibia; Anura; Pelobatidae
Source: the annotation of a GenBank genome assembly
UGCUAUACCUGGGUCCACUAUAUCCCAAGGUGGGGAUUAUUCCACCUGAAAUUCUCCAAACUAGAGCAGGUCGUUGCUCUAGUAUAUGUAAGUAGGAUCAUCCACUUUUUUUUUUUCUCACAAUAUUUUAUAUUUACGUACUAUACCAUGUGGUGUAUUUUACUCUUGUUUUUCAUGUAACGAAUAUUUACAACUAUAAAUUCACCAACGGUCUUGAACCUCAAGAAAUCCAUAGACGGGG